This is a non-coding RNA of Tachysurus fulvidraco (yellow catfish), 1311 nucleotides long. The record is from the annotation of a RefSeq genome assembly. Lineage: Eukaryota; Metazoa; Chordata; Actinopteri; Siluriformes; Bagridae.
UAAUGAUCAUAUCACUAACAAGAACUUAUGAUAAUGUAGGUUGAAGGAUUAGUUGCAGUUCCCCUCUGUUACAUCAUCAUGACUCCCACAUGUUUUCUAUCAUGACGUCAUGAUGCAAAUCCAGACAGCUGUGUGUCCAUGCAGUAUUUAUGUGCAGCUGAGCUGAGUGGAGAGAUCGAGUCUCAUCAACACUCACCAUGAAGAUCCCACUCUCCUUAUUCCUGCUAGUAAUCAGCUUCAUAGGUAUUCAGUGUCAGGGUCUUGAGUCUAUUCCCACUGGUUCAGUGGUGAAAAAACCUGGAGAAACUCUGAGUCUUUCCUGUAAAGGAUCUGGGUUUAACUUUGGUGACUAUGGCAUGAACUGGAUCAGACAAAAAGCUGGAAAAGCUCUAGAAUGGAUUGGGGCUAUCUGGUACGAUGCAAGUAAAACAAUAUACGCCAAAGACAUUGAGGGACGUUUGGAAAUUACCAGAGACAACUCCAAAAACAUGGUGUAUCUGCAGCUGACUGGUUUGAGUGCCCAGGAUUCUGCUGUUUAUUACUGUGCUAGAAACCACAGUGGUACAAACAUGUUAAUCAGCUGUACAAAUUCCUCCGCCAGAUGCAGUAAAAGAGAAAAAUGCAUUCAAUAUACAAGGCUUUUUCACAAGAUCUGCAGGUGGCGCUACAGCUCAACAAAUAAAAUAUUCUUAUAUCCUCAGCCACAGCUAGAUACUCCACAAUUUCUAUGUAUUUCUGUGACACAAUGAACACUGAGACUGUCUCUUAUAGUCAUAUUCUUACAGAGGAACCAAAAGGGAAAUAAAUAACAUUUACAGAAAAAUGUCUGACUUUAAUUAGUGAUUAUUGAAUACAUACAUUUCACAAAAGUUCCAUAACAUUAACUGUAACAUUAAACGUAAAUAGAGUUCACCAUAUUCUUCUUUAAUUAAUAAAUAAAUUGUCACCGUUCACAGACUGCUGCUGUAUAAGAGGAAAAGUGAUCAUAGUAAUCAGUGCCAUUGAUUAUUAGAAAAUAAUUAUCUUCAGGUUUGUAGCAGUAACUUCAUGCAUUAAAUAUCUCAACUUUAACUGUGAAGAUCUCCUGUAAGAUACACGGCUUUGUUAUGACUGAGUACAACAUGCACUGGAUCAGACAGAAACCAGGGAAAGCUCUGGAAUGGGUUGGAUAUGUGAACUCCGUAGUCUAACUGUACCUCUGUACUGUAAGUUUGGCUUUAACAGCUUCAGCCAUGUUCAUAUUCACCUUCUCAUAACAGAAAGCAGGAAAUUUGCAGACAUGAGAAUCAUUUCUGUGUUAAUGUAAUUGUC